Molecule: ribosomal RNA, 48 nt
Filed under: Pestalotiopsis aeruginea
Lineage: Eukaryota; Fungi; Ascomycota; Sordariomycetes; Amphisphaeriales; Sporocadaceae
Also listed under: 1 other name
Description: partial 28S ribosomal RNA
Source: RNAcentral
UUGACCUCGGAUCAGGUAGGAAUACCCGCUGAACUUAAGCAUAUCAGG